Molecule: transfer RNA, 87 nt
Filed under: Euseius nicholsi
Lineage: Eukaryota; Metazoa; Arthropoda; Arachnida; Mesostigmata; Phytoseiidae
Description: tRNA-Arg
Source: RNAcentral
UUAAAAAAGUGAUGUAUUUACGAUUGUUUUCGACACAAUUUUAGGAAAAAAUCCUUUCUAUUUAUUAAUCUAUUUUAAUUUGUUAAA